This 1442-nucleotide ribosomal RNA is filed under the name uncultured Bordetella sp. RNAcentral describes it as "partial 16S-23S ribosomal RNA intergenic spacer". It matches the Rfam family "Bacterial small subunit ribosomal RNA". The record is from RNAcentral. Lineage: Bacteria; Pseudomonadati; Pseudomonadota; Betaproteobacteria; Burkholderiales; Alcaligenaceae.
UUGAUCAUGGCUCGAUUGAAAAACAUGGCGGGAUGCUUUACACAUACAAGUCGAACGGCAACACGGACUUCGGUCUGAGCGGCGGUGAACAGUGGUAAUGUAUCGGAACAUUCUAGUAGCGGGGGAUAACUACGCGAAAGCGUAGCUAAUACCACAUACGCCCUUCGGGGAAAGCAGGGGGACCUUCAAGCUCGCACUAUUAAACAACCGAUAUCGGAUUAGCUAGUUGGUGGGGUAACGGCUCUGGGAAAGGCGGCGAUCCGUAGCUGGUUUGAGAGGGACGACCAGCCACACUGGGACUGAGACACGGCCCGGGCUCACGGGAGGCAGCAGUGGGAAUUUUGGACAGUGGAAACCCUGAUCCAGCCAUCCGGUAUUGCGAUGAAGGCUAGCGGGUUGUAAAGCACCUUUUGGCAGGAAGAAACGGCACGGGAUAGCAUUGCAAUAAUGAUACCUGCAGAUAAGCACCAACUAACUACGUGCCAGCAGCGCGGUAAUACCGUAGAGUGCAAGCGUUAAUCAGGAUACUGGGCGUAAAGCGUGCGCAGGCGGACGGAAAGAAGAUGUGAAAUCCCAGAGCUUAACUUUGGAACUGCAUUUUUAACUACCGAGCUAGAGUGUGUCAGAGGAGGUGGAAUUCCCGCGUGUAGCAGUGAAAUGCGUAGAUAUGCGGAGAGACACCGAUGGCGAAGGCAGCCUCCUGGGGAUAACACUGACGCUCAUGCACGAAAGCGAAACUGGGGAGCAAACAGGAUUAUAGAUCCUGAUGGUCCGCCUAAACGAUGUCAACUAGCUGUUGGGGCCUUCGGGCCUUGGUAGCGCAGCAACGCGUGAAGUUGACCGCCUGGGGAAGUACGGUCGCAAGAUUAAAACUCAAAGGAAUUGACGGGGACCCUUUUAAGCGGUGGAUGAUGUGGAUUAAUUCGAUGCAACGCGAAAAACCUUUACUACCCUUAACAUGUCUGGAUCCCGAAGAGAUUUGGGAGUGCUCUCUGAAGAACCGGAACACAGGUGCUGCAUGGCUGUCAGCUCGUGUCGUGAGAUGUUGGGUUAAGUCCCGCAACAGCGCAACCCUUGUCAUUGGUUACUAUUGGUACUCUAAUGGUACCGGUGACAAACCGGGAAGGUGGGGAUGACGUCAAGUCCUCGCGGCCAUAUGGUGAGACUUACCACGUCAUACAAUGGUCGGGACAGAGGGUCGCCAACUGCAGGGGAAAAGCCGUCCCGAAACCCGAUCGUAGUCCGGAUCGCAGUCGCAACUCGACUGCGUGAAGUCGGAAUCGCUAGUAAUCGCGGAUCAGCAUGUCGCGGUGAAUACGUUCUGGGUCUUGUACACACCGCCCGUCACACCGUAGAAUUAGGUUUUGCAAGUGGUCAACUAACCGUAAAGGAGGGCGAUUACCACGGUAGGAUUCAUGACUGGUGAAGUCGUAACAAGGUAG